UGUUCUCUCUUUCUUCUGAGAUCAUAGGAGUAUUGAAAAUGAACUCUUUCAUCAGACAUUUUAGGAUGAUGAUCAUGAGAAGUGAGGUUGAAUCGGAGCUUCAGCCAUUAGAACACAAAGACAAGGGAAUAUUGUGUUCUGUUCUGGUGAAACCUGUUUGUUUACAUGGCAGUCCAAAGGUCAACCAUCUGUAACCUGUAUAAUCUGCAAAGCAGGAAUUUUUUGACUGCACCGACUGGAGUGUUUUUGAAGCUGCAACUCUCAACCUGGACAAACUGACUGAGGAGUCCUUUGCCACCGUAUCCUUUCGCCGCUGUCCUCUGAAUGGUAACAUAAUUAUUUGGCUCUUAUAGGCAUACAGAAUUAACAUAGUAAACAAAUGGCAUAAAAGAUUACCCUUAGGUGUUCGUCUGGGCAAGAUUCUUUUGGCAGAUCUUUGGUAGGAUGGGUGUUUAAGUGUGUGUGGGGUGAGGGGGUGGGGGUGGUGGCUAAAUGCUAAAUAAGGAAAUACUCAUUCUGAAGAGGGUUGCUACCUUACUGCUCUCUGAGAUCAUUACAAACUGUAUCUAUACCAAUAUGAACAACCAGACCAGUGAGAAAGUAUUUACAUGUGGAUAGUGUCUUGAAGUAUUUAAUGAAUACUAAACAUGAAUACUAAACAUAUAUUCUAUAUCUGAUAUAUCUGAUAUUCAGGCCUAUCUGAUAGUUGCCUCUCUGACACACAGUUAAUAACAGCAUUCCUAAAAGUUCUGUUAUUAACUGUGUGUCAGAGAGGCAACUAUCAGAUAGGCCUGUAGAAUCUCCAUUGAUUUCAUCCUUCUAGGAGCUUCUGGAAGCUCCCAGCCCUGCAGGACACCUACCACACACGAUGCCUCAGGAAAGCUGGCAGGAUCCUAAAGGACUGCUACCACCCAGCUUUCAGACUUUUUACCCCGCUGCCCUCUGGAAGGCGGUACCGUAGCAUCCGGUCUCGCACACGCAGACUGGAGAACAGCUUUUACCCCAGGGCCAUCAGGCUGCUAAAUGGACAUUGAUACUACACCGCCACUUUUGCACUCGUCACUUACAUGCACUGUCACUGUCACUUUCAUAUUACUGUUUGCACUACACUUACAUAUACUGUCACUUCCAACCUACUGCUUGCACUAGCAGUAAUACCUUAUCAGGAAAAUUGCACUACCUGUAACUCCCUCACUGGGUUGUAUGUAGGUUAGUAUAGGUCAAUAGGGUAGCAUAGUUUAUUACAUGUGUAUUAUAUGUUAUAUGUAUAUAUGUUAGUAUUAUAUGUAUAGGCUGCUAUAUGUAUAUUUAGUAUUAUAUGUAUAGGUUGUUAUAUGUUUAGUACACCGUAUUGUAUAUUUAUCUUGUAUAUUUAGUAAGGUUAUUUAUAUGUUUAUUAUGUGUAAAUUAUGUUCAUAGUACUUGUGCAGAGUGUACGUCAUGGUUAUGUUAUGUAUAUUAUGUGUUGUUAUGUUAUGGUAGGUUUGGGCGGCGUCUUGUCGCAAGAAUUUCAGUGCCCAGUCUGAC
Clupea harengus (Atlantic herring) is the source of this 1527-nucleotide long non-coding RNA. Lineage: Eukaryota; Metazoa; Chordata; Actinopteri; Clupeiformes; Clupeidae. The record is from Ensembl.